UUAGGGUCCAAACCACACUGCAGAAAUAAUCAAGUCUGAGACUGCUUUACCUGUCCUGGCUCAAUGCUAGGGAAUUCUGGAAACGACUGAAAUGCCGGCUCCAUUUUAAACGGAUACAAAUGGCAAUGUGACUCCAACAACAGGGUUAAAUUGCCAUGGAGAGACUCAAUUGGGGUAAACUUUUAUAGUGGGGACUUCGAUUUGGUACUGCAUCAUUGAACCUCCUUGGAUCUACUCAGCACAAAAAAUGCUAGUGUGAAUUGAGCCAAAGGGGAAAAGGCAAUCUUGGAAAACUCAGGUUAUGGGAGAUUUGACACGGUCCCCUUUGAAUUCAGGUUGAGAAAAAACGUUUUGCAAAUUGGUUUAUAUCAUAGUGUGAAUGACCCAGCCUUCUCUGUCAGAGAGCUCUGGAGCCACAAUAAUCUACAAUUCCCCGGAUUUCCUAGCACUGAGCUGGGGCAGUUAAAGCGGUCUCAAAGUGUAUUAUUUCUGCAGUGUGUUUAGGACCCUAGAAGUCUGAUCCUCCAGUGAUGUAAGCGGGAGGACUUGUUCUGCUAGUACAGUAAUUUUAUAGUCAGUCUGAGCCCCAGCUGUGACUUGUAGUGGAGAAAGGCCAUUUCUCCAAGUAAACAGGUGAUGGGUCCAAAGUGCCAGGAAUAGUGAUUGUAGCCCUAAUCCCACCCCUCACAGUGCUGCCUCCCACCCCUCAGGAAUGCAGGAAAUGUGUCUUGUGCAACCAGUUGGACAAGAGGAAGAAGUUGCAGAGAGACAUUGCGGAGCUCGGCUCUUUGGUUUUCAUGGCCUCUCGUCCAAAUCUUUCAUACCUCCUCCCUGCUCCUCGAUUGCGCCAGCUGGCCCGUGACUGGUUGCAGGAAGACGUCCCCAGCUUUGACUAUGGCGGCUAUGCAGUGGGUGACCGACAAGAAUGUGCUGUGCUCCUCUGCAAGUCCCCUGGAGUCAUGGCUGGCUUCCCAUUCUUUGAGGCCAUCUUUGCUGAAGUGGGCUGCUCCGUGGAAUGGCUCCAGUCAGAGGGGGCAUGGGUAGAACCAAUUACCCGUGUGGCCGAAGUCCGUGGGCAGGCGAAAGACCUCCUGCUAGGUGAAAGGGUGGCUCUGAACUGUUUGGGCCGAUGCAGUGGCGUGGCCACGUUAGCAGCAAAAGUCUGCAGGGUGGCACGAGAGGUUGGCUGGCACGGAGAGGUGGCAGGGACAAGGAAGACCACACCUGGAUUCCGUUUGCCAGAGAAAUAUGCCCUCCUGAUAGGAGGAGCAUCCUGCCACCGGUACGAUCUGGGGAGCCUCAUCAUGUUGAAGGACAACCAUGUGUGGGCUUCUGGAAGUAUCACCCAGGCUGUCCAGAGUGCCCGGCGUGUCGGAGGCUUUGCCCUGAAGGUAGAAGUUGAGUGUCGCUCAUUGGAGGAGGCUGUUGAAGCAGCAGAAUGUGGCUCUGAUAUUAUCAUGUUGGACAAUUUUGCUGCUGAGGACUUGCACCCCACAGCCAAAACAUUGAAGACCUCUUUCCCUCAUGUGACAGUUGAAGCUAGCGGAGGAAUCACUGAGAAUAACAUAACUCAGUUUGUGGGGCCCAAUAUUGAUGUGGUCUCCCUUGGAUGCCUCACCCAGUCAGCCAAGGUGGUAGAUUUCUCCCUCAAGAUCAACCGAGAACCAGUCCCUAAGCCACCUCUGCGGAAUUUUGUCUUCUGAGCCUUUGAGAUUUCCAGAGACAGUAAAAUGAGGAGGGAGGUUUGUAGAUGAACUGGAUUGGGAUAGAGCAGGGGAUGGAUUGUACUUGUGGCAUCUGGGGUUUGCCAAAUACCAAACUGUGUAUCAUGCCUGCACUUUUAAAAGAUCCAAAGCAAGAAGAGGGGCUGACAUUUGAUUGUUUUGGGUCAAGGCUUGGAAAGGUUAAACUGGUGGUAAAAAUUUAACUCUGUGGAUCUCUUACCAGCAUAACCAGUGCCUGUUCUGCCUGGAGAUUCUGGAUGCUGGAGUCAAAAUUGUAACUUUUCCAAGCUUUGAUUUUGAUCAGGUUGCUCCACCAGUUCUUCUGCCUAUUCUCUUUCCUGGAGGACUUACCUGCAGUGAGGGAUGGGUGGAAGAAAGAAGGGACCAGUGGGAUAGCACCAAUAUAAAAGGCACAGUUACCGCAUACACUUGUAGCUUAAAGACACAAAAGUGAUCUUGGAAAGUACUGACACCUGGCUUCUCUCUCUAAGGUAUGUGUGGUCUUUUCCAAUUGUGCCUUCCAGCACCUGUUUCAAACAGAUCUGACACGGAAUUAAAAUAAAUUAAACACAUAUUUUAAAGUGGAUUUGUUGUUGCUUAUCUGCUUUAUCAGGGCCUGCCCUAAAGUCAUCAAUACUACUUUUCCUAAAUGCCACCAAUGUCCAAUAUCAGCAACUCAUUGCAUGAGUGGAGAAAACAUUGGCAAAAAGAGAAGAGAGUGACAGUCAAAGAAAUGAAUAGAGAUGGCAGAAAAAGAAGAAAAGGGGACAGAAACAGAAGGUGAAGAAUCAAACUCAUAGAACUGGAAUGGAAAACGUAGGCCAUCUAAUCUGAUCCCUGCCACACAAGAAUAUACAACUGAAGCACUCCUGAAAGAUGCCUAUCCAAUCUCUGUUUAAAGAUUUCCAGUGAAGGAGAAUCCACUACCCUUUGAGGCAAUCUAUUCCUCUGUUGAAUUGUUCUUACAAUAAAAAAGUGCUUCCUAAUUUUUAGGUGGAA
Molecule: RNA transcript, 2723 nt
Organism: Sceloporus undulatus (fence lizard)
Lineage: Eukaryota; Metazoa; Chordata; Lepidosauria; Squamata; Phrynosomatidae
Gene: QPRT
Gene name: quinolinate phosphoribosyltransferase
Exons: 5
Source: RefSeq, a predicted model, not a curated record